This 800-nucleotide non-coding RNA is filed under the name Pseudotibiozus cerasopus. Lineage: Eukaryota; Metazoa; Arthropoda; Diplopoda; Spirostreptida; Spirostreptidae. The record is from RNAcentral.
GAAGAUUUUUACUUUGGGUUUAUUUUUUUUUAUAAUAUAAAGUUAGAUCCCUGCUUUAGUUUUUUUUGUUAGUUUAUUUUAUAUAUUAUAUGUAUUUUAAUAAUUCAUUUGUAGUGAAUUAAUUUAUUAGUAAGGUUAUUCUUGAUGUAGUAAUGUUUAUAGUUCUAAGUCAAUUCGUGCCAGCACUUGCGGUUAUACGAAUGGGGUUAAAUAAAAAUUUUGGUAAAGAAAAAUUAAUUGUAUAAUUUUAUGAAUUAAAAUGAAUUAUUUUUAGGUAAAAUUAAGAAUAGUUUAAUUAGUAUUUUAUUAAUAUAAGAUGAACGUUUUAAAAUUAAAAGUAUAAACCUGGAUUAGAUACCCAGUUAUUUUUAAAGUAAAAUUAUUACCAGAGAAGUAUCAGUGAUCUAAAAAUUUAAGGGAUUUGGCGGUGUUUUAUUCCAAUUAGAGGAACUUGUCCUAUAAUCGAUAGUACACGAUAAGUUAACUUUUUUUUGUACACAGUUUGUAUAUCGCUGUUGUCAGAAAACUUUAAUAGAUAGUGUUUUCUUUUUGUAUUAUCUACAGGACAUCAAGUCAAGGUGCAGCACAUAAGAAAGGGUGAAUGAUGAGUUACAAUAAAUAUAUUUAUUAUGAAUUGAAAUAUGGAAAUAAUUAUGAAAGUGGAUUUAUUAGUAAAAUUUUAGUAUAAUUGGAAAUUUGAUUUUUGGCUCUAAAAUGUGUACAUAUCGCCCGUCAUUCUCAUUUUUAGUUGAGGUAAGUCGUAACAUAGUAGGUGUAUUGGAAAAUGUACCUGGAUUAGG